AGAAGAAAGCAGCUGGAAGAGCGUCAUUGCGCCACUGCGUUCUGAGGACGUCUUUAAAACAGACAUUGCUAUUCUGUGAGAUCUUCAUUCACAACCUUCUUCACAGACAGUGCUGCCCUGUGCAUUCUUCUUCACAAGCCUCGCUCCUCUCUGCAUCUUCAUAGUUGCCUGAGAGGGCACAGGGCAUUGAUUUAAGCUGGCCAGCUUACUUGGCUGCCUGCAGGCUACAUCCUGUACAGUUGGUCAGCUUCCUUUGUGAGUUGGUAACCAGGUGCUGAAGGAACCGAAUGGCUCCCUCUCUCCUUUGGUAUCCUGUUCUGUUCUUUAUCUCCUCUGUCUGCUUGCACCUGCAAGCUUUCUAAAAACGCCCUUCUUGUCCAAAAUGAUGAACCCUUGCCAUUGUCCAAAUUGAAGAACCUAUACUUGCAUAAACACCAAAUCCUGUGGGAUUCUAACCAGAUCUGUUGUACCCUGUAUACUGUUUUCCUGUGAUUUGUUUCAGGUCAGACGAUUAUUUAAAGAAGCAGUUUUUCCAGUUGAAGGCCAUCACUACAGGGGCCCCAGACCAUUUGCAGCUGAAGACACACAUUCACAUCAUUCACUGAAGCUGUAGUUACUGGUCAUAUCUCAUAGCCGUACAUUGCAAGAGCAAAACAAACAGCAGCUUCAAGUGUGUAUAUUUAUACAUGAACAUUUACUGUUGAAGGAUUUUAGGCUUGUGCAUUUAUUUAAUUCAUUUUGUCAUUUUAUAGUUUAUUCAUAGUUUAAGCCAGCUUAAAGCUCUUGAGAAGGUGAAGAAUCGUAAUACUUGGGAUUCAGUCAUUUAAUUUUUGAAUCAUAUGAAUGUUUAACGCUUCUGUUUAAUUGAAUAAUACAGUGUGUACAUUGUUUCUGCUUCUGAACAUUUCUAAGCAUAUUAAGUUUAAAUUAAAAAUGAAAGUUUAUUAGAA
This is a long non-coding RNA of Pygocentrus nattereri (red-bellied piranha), 950 nucleotides long. RefSeq lists it as uncharacterized. NCBI's taxonomy places the organism in Eukaryota, Metazoa, Chordata, Actinopteri, Characiformes, Serrasalmidae. The transcript has 8 exons. The record is from RefSeq and is a predicted model, not a curated record.